Molecule: ribosomal RNA, 254 nt
Filed under: uncultured bacterium
Lineage: Bacteria
Description: partial 16S ribosomal RNA
Rfam family: Bacterial small subunit ribosomal RNA
Source: RNAcentral
UACGGAGGGUGCAAGCGUUAUCCGGAUUCACUGGGUUUAAAGGGUGCGUAGGUGGGUAUGUAAGUCAGUGGUGAAAUCCCCGAGCUUAACUUGGGAACUGCCGUUGAUACUAUAUAUCUUGAAUAUCGCGUAGGUAAGCGGAAUAUGUCAUGUAGCGGUGAAAUGCUUAGAUAUGACAUAGAACACCAAUUGCGAAAGGCAGCUUACUUCACGAUCAUUGACACUGAGGCACGAAAGCGUGGGGAGCAAACAGG